Molecule: unclassified non-coding RNA, 327 nt
Filed under: soil metagenome
Description: partial contains 5.8S ribosomal RNA, internal transcribed spacer 2, and large subunit ribosomal RNA
Rfam family: 5.8S ribosomal RNA (bases 1-119)
Source: RNAcentral
GAUGAAGAACGUAGCGAAAUGCGAUAAGUAAUGUGAAUUGCAGAAUUCAGUGAAUCAUCGAAUCUUGAACGCACAUUGCGCCCCUUGGUAUUCCGAGGGGCAUGCCUGUUCGAGCGUCAUUAUAACCCUCAAGCUCAGCUUGGUGUUGGGGCCUGCUGCACUGGCAGCCCUUAAAAUCAGUGGCGGCGCCAUCUGGCUCUAAGCGUAGUAAUUCUUCUCGCUAUGGAGUCCUGGUGGAUGCUUGCCAUCAACCCCCAAUUUUUCUAUGGUUGACCUCGGAUCAGGUAGGGAUACCCGCUGAACUUAAGCAUAUCAAUAAGCGGAGGA